This 85-nucleotide transfer RNA is filed under the name Candidatus Pelagibacterales bacterium. Its description in RNAcentral is "tRNA-Leu". It matches the Rfam family "tRNA". From Rfam's summary of the family: Transfer RNA (tRNA) molecules are approximately 80 nucleotides in length. Lineage: Bacteria; Pseudomonadati; Pseudomonadota; Alphaproteobacteria; Candidatus Pelagibacterales. The record is from RNAcentral.
GCGGCCGUGGUGGAAUUGGUAGACACGCAGGUAUGAGGUAUCUGUGCCUUACGGCUUGGAAGUUCGAGUCUUCUCGGCCGCACCA